AGAUCUGGAGAGUCAGAAAGGAAUUGCUGUGCAUCCUAGAGGCUCGGAAACAACAGCAGAUGAGACCACAAGUACUAAGGCAUUAGAUGCGGGGCCAAUGCAAGUUGAUGAAUCAAGUGUAAAGAUUGAACGUGAAAAUGUGAACAAGACAUCUGAUUCUGUGUUCUACAAAUCAUAAGUCCAAAUCAGCUAAUUUGUUUGUGCAAGCAUUGUUGAGUGGUUCAUGGAUUAAUCUUAAGCUUUUACAAGCCAUGAGAACCUAAAUGAUUUUGUUUUCAAUAUGGAUUAUUUAAAGGAACAAGUUGUAUUCACAUUGUGAAAACUCGAGUGAAUCUUAAGAACUAAUUUAAUAGCUUUAGGUUCUCACAGGGAACUUUAAUUGAUCUUUCAGGUUAAGGGUGUUAUGAUGCCUUUCUUACCAUUAUUGCUGUUCAGAGCUUGUGCAGAAACUGUUGUGUACUGCUGUUGGCAUUCACUUGGACAAUUUAUAUGGGGUAUCUUAACAGCAUCCUUUCGUUAAGGGCGAUGCAAGAACUAGCUCCGUUGACAUGAACUAAAGCAGCAUCACACUGACAUACCAGGACAUCGAUAAAAUGUAGACAAGGCAAGCUGAGCGAACCACAAGAGGUACAUGAAGUGCAG
This 642-nucleotide unclassified non-coding RNA is filed under the name Hevea brasiliensis (rubber tree). Lineage: Eukaryota; Viridiplantae; Streptophyta; Magnoliopsida; Malpighiales; Euphorbiaceae. The record is from RNAcentral.